RNAcentral lists this ribosomal RNA (333 nucleotides) under Triticum aestivum (bread wheat). RNAcentral's name for it is "partial small subunit ribosomal RNA". The record is from RNAcentral. Lineage: Eukaryota; Viridiplantae; Streptophyta; Magnoliopsida; Poales; Poaceae.
AUGAUAGACAAUUUUCCAGCUCUGCCUUGGUUGUUACUCACCUUCACUCCACUCUCCAUUAGCCAUGUCACAUUGGCUAGCGUUGUAGAGAGGUCGCCUAGAGAUGAUCUCAAAUUGCUCACAUGCCGGAACAUUGAUGAGAAAAAUCAACUGUGCUCCUCUAUCUACUGUCCGACACCUCCACCUUACAUAAUCCUAGGCCUCAUGCAAAAUGAAUGUAUGUUCUUGAGAUCCUGCCUAAAAUAUGGCAGAGGGACUUCAGAAAGGUUGCCCAUGUAUAAUACAGUAAAGCUGGCAUAUUCAGUGAUCAAGUGGUGGUAUAUUGAAUUAUAA